CAACACUUAGCCAAAAAAAUAAGAAAACGCUCAAAUUAAAAACCAAACCCUAAUUUCUAUAUAUUUUCUCUAUCCUCUUUCUCUCCUUUACCUCUCCGCUAUCUUCCUCGAUUCUUCCUUUCUUCCUAGAUUAUUCACUUCUCCUCAGCUCUCCUUUACCUCGUCACUCUCUCCAUAUGAUUAUACACCCCUGGAUCUAUUGGAUUCUAUCAAUUUCAUCCCCAAAUUCCUCUUCUUCUUAAAUUCUAUAAAUGAAUCAUUUUCCAUCUUCGUCGCUUGCCUCAGAUACCCUAAACCAUAGCUUUCGAUUUCGUUGGCUUGAAGCCCCAAACCAUCUUCGACGCUCGGUUCUUCAAUUGCGUCAGCCUCCUCCCUCUUUAUCCUUCUCUUUUGCAUCCGCAGGUGUUCGACGAAUUGCCUCAUUAUUGGCUUGCUUGUUACUUAACAUUGUUUGGUGUUCUGUCCUUAAGAUUCUACCUUCCAAGUCAUUAACACGUAUAAGAGUAGAGAAGAGGUAUAGUUUAUCUUUGGUGGGUGCUUAAGAUUCGAAUCAGUUGGUCUCCAGCUUAAAACACAUGAAGAUGCGAUAACUAACAUCAAAAAUGAGCUUGCAGUUGUGGAGCUUAAAGUUCAGGUCUUUAUUUCUUAUCUAGCUUCAGAUUUGUGUAUGCACAAUCAUGUUACCAUCUUGCAAUGAACAUCAAAUCAUAUGUUCUUGUCUGAGAUUACGUGGAGCAUGUGAUCAGAGAAACUGGAGCAGAUCUGGUAUCAAUCAUAGUGUUAGUAUACUUGGGGACUAGCUUCUUCUUAAGUUUUAUAUACAUAUCUAGAGACGUGCAUUUUGGAAUGCAGGUUGGUGGAUGCCAAUACAUAAUGUUUCCAGGGAGAUAUAUUUACACUAAAAGACUGAAAGAUGCAAAGAGACUGAAGUCAAGCUUACGAUGGGUAUGGCCAUGGGAGGAAUGAAGGUAAACUGAUGUACGAAGUGCAAGUUGCUAUCUUAGCUUAAGAAGUUUGUCUAAUGUUAGUUUAUUUUGUGUAAGACUUGGUGUCACUUACGAUGUUAGUAUAAGACUUGGUAUGAUGUUAUGUAAAACUUGUUUUGGUUAAUUUGAUAUUAAUGUUAUGUAUUUUGAUGAUUUAUGUAA
Molecule: long non-coding RNA, 1148 nt
Organism: Arabidopsis lyrata subsp. lyrata
Lineage: Eukaryota; Viridiplantae; Streptophyta; Magnoliopsida; Brassicales; Brassicaceae
Exons: 5
Source: RefSeq, a predicted model, not a curated record